AGAAUGAACGCUGGCGGCGUGCUUAACACAUGCAAGUCGAGCGAGGCGGAAGGGGGCAACUCCUUCCAGUCGAGCGGCGGACGGGUGAGUAACACGUGGGUAACCUGCCCGGAAGUGGGGAAUACCUCGGGGAAACUCGAGCUAAUACCGCAUGACAUCUUCGGGACGACAGUCCUGAUGAUCAAAGCGGGGUCGCAAGAUCUCGCGCUACCGGAUGGGCCCGCGCCCGAUUAGCUAGUUGGUGAGGUAACGGCUCACCAAGGCUUCGAUCGGUAACCGGCCUGAGAGGGCGAUCGGUACACACCGGAACUGAGACACGGUCCGGACUCCUACGGGAGGCAGCAGUGGGGAAUCUUGCGCAAAUGGGCGAAAAGCCUGACGCAGCAAACGCCGCGUGAGGAUGAAGGCCCUUGGUUGUAAACUCCUGUCGGCUGGAAGAAAAUCGUUCGGGGCUAAUACCCUCGGAACGUUGACUGUACCAGCAAAGGAAGCCCGGCUAACUCUGUGCCAGCAGCCCG
Molecule: ribosomal RNA, 518 nt
Filed under: uncultured soil bacterium
Lineage: Bacteria
Description: bacterial SSU rRNA
Rfam family: Bacterial small subunit ribosomal RNA
Source: RNAcentral